Molecule: RNA transcript, 4344 nt
Organism: Tupaia belangeri chinensis (Chinese tree shrew)
Lineage: Eukaryota; Metazoa; Chordata; Mammalia; Scandentia; Tupaiidae
Gene: PRICKLE1
Gene name: prickle planar cell polarity protein 1
Exons: 9
Source: RefSeq, a predicted model, not a curated record
GCUGUGAUCGCGAGCCCAGCGGCCGGCCCGCUGCGCUGGGCGCAGGGUGGGAUCUGCAGGAAGUGAAAUGGUUACUUUUUUUACUGCGGGCUCUGGUUACUUUUGAAGAUCGCCGGCCCCAGGCGGGCGCCCAGCGCAGAGCGGAGACGGGUUUUGCUCUCCGCAGUGGAGGAUCCUGGAGACGCAGAGCUGGGGCGUGUGGGAUGCGGUGGCCUGGACCAGGCGACUCAAACGCCGGGAGUGGAUUCCGCAAACGCCCACGGGAACAGAGGUUCUCCGCGGAGCUAGGCAGCCAUUGUUUGAUGUCCUGUGACUGAGAAAACCAGAUUUUUCACCGUAUUAUGCCUUUGGAGAUGGAGCCCAAAAUGAGCAAACUCGCCUUCGGGUGUCAGAGAAGUUCCACAUCAGAUGAUGACUCCGGCUGUGCACUGGAGGAGUACGCCUGGGUGCCCCCGGGCCUCAGACCCGAGCAGAUCCAGCUCUAUUUUGCUUGUUUACCAGAGGAAAAGGUUCCUUAUGUUAAUAGCCCUGGAGAGAAACAUCGGAUUAAACAGCUUUUGUACCAGUUGCCACCACAUGAUAAUGAGGUGCGGUAUUGCCAGUCUUUGAGUGAAGAGGAGAAAAAGGAAUUGCAGGUUUUCAGUGCUCAGCGGAAGAAGGAAGCACUGGGAAGAGGAACGAUUAAACUCUUGUCCAGAGCAGUAAUGCACGCCGUGUGUGAGCAGUGUGGGGUGAAGAUAAACGGAGGUGAGGUGGCUGUGUUUGCCUCCCGCGCGGGCCCAGGAGUGUGCUGGCACCCAGCCUGUUUUGUCUGCUUCACGUGCAACGAGCUGCUGGUCGACCUCAUCUAUUUUUAUCAGGAUGGAAAAAUUCACUGUGGCCGGCACCACGCGGAACUGCUCAAGCCACGGUGCUCGGCAUGUGAUGAGAUAAUUUUUGCUGAUGAGUGCACAGAAGCUGAGGGUCGCCAUUGGCACAUGAAGCACUUCUGCUGCCUUGAGUGUGAAGUGGUCCUGGGAGGACAGAGGUACAUCAUGAAGGAGGACCGCCCGUUCUGCUGCGGCUGUUUUGAGUCUCUCUAUGCAGAGUAUUGUGAAACCUGUGGGGAGCACAUUGGUGUCGACCAUGCACAGAUGACCUACAACGGGCAGCAUUGGCAUGCCACUGAGGAGUGCUUUUCUUGUGCCCAGUGUAAGGCCUCUUUGUUGGGAUGUCCCUUCCUUCCCAAGCAAGGUCAGAUUUAUUGCUCAAAAACAUGCAGCCUCGGUGAAGACGUCCAUGCUUCUGAUUCUUCCGACUCUGCGUUUCAGUCAGCGCGGUCGAGAGACUCCAGACGAAGUGUCCGCAUGGGCAAGAGCAGUCGCUCAGCAGAUCAGUGCCGACAGUCUCUGCUCUUGUCCCCGGCCCUGAACUACAAGUUCCCUGGCCUUUCAGACAAUGCUGACGACACCCUUUCUCGGAAGUUGGAUGAUCUGAGUCUCUCCAGGCAAGAAGCAGGAUUUGUCAAUGAAGACUUCUGGAAAGGUAGGGUAGAGCACGAAACCUCAGAAGACCCUGAAGAAUGGGCGGAACAUGAAGAUUAUAUGACGCAGCUCCUCCUCAAGUUUGGAGAUAAAAGCCUCUUUCAGCAACAGCCCAAUGAGAUGGAUUUGCAAGCCAGUGAACACUGGAUAUCUGAUAACAUGGUUAAAAAUAAGACUGAGUUAAAGCAAAAUAACCAGAGCCUUGCAAGUAAAAAAUACCAAUCUGAUAUGUAUUGGGCGCAGUCACAAGAUGGACUAGGCGAUUCUGCUUAUGGCAGCCACCCAGGCCCUGCGAGCAGUAGGAGGCUCCAGGAGUUGGACCUAGACCACGGGGCUUCAGGAUACAAUCAUGAUCAAACUCAGUGGUAUGAAGAUUCCCUGGAGUGUUUGUCAGACUUGAAACCAGAGCAAAGCGUUCGGGAUUCUAUGGAUUCUUUGGCUUUGUCUAAUAUCACAGGGGCUUCAGUGGAUGGAGAAAGCAAACCCAGGCCAUCGCUAUAUUCUCUGCAAAACUUUGAGGAGAUGGAGACAGAAGAUUGCGAGAAAAUGAGCAACAUGGGAACGCUGAACUCGUCCAUGCUGCACAGGAGUGCGGAGUCCUUAAAGAGUCUGAGUUCAGAGUUGUGUCCAGAAAAAAUCAUGCCGGAAGAGAAGCCAGUCCAUCUGCCAGUGCUCAGAAGGUCCAAGUCCCAGUCCAGACCACAACAGGUCAAGUUUUCGGAUGACGUCAUCGACAACGGCAACUACGACAACAUCGAGAUCCGCCAGCCUCCCAUGAGCGAAAGGACUCGGAGGCGCGUCUACCAUUUCGAAGAGAGGGGAUCCAGGCCUCAUCACCAUCGCCGCAGGAGAAGUAGAAAGUCCCGCUCUGACAACGCCCUGAAUCUGGUGACAGAAAGAAAAUACUCUCCCAAGGACAGACUGCGGCUCUACACGCCCGAUAACUACGAGAAGUUCAUCCAGAGCAAGAGCGCCCGGGAGAUCCAGGCGUACGUGCGCAACGCCGAGCUGUACGGCCAGUACGCGCACGCCACCUCCGACUACGCCCUGCAGAACCCCGCCGUGAGCAGGUUCCUGGGGCUCUACGGCGAGGACGAUGACUCCUGGGGCUCCUCCUCCACCUCCUCCUCCGACUCCGAAGAAGAAGGCUAUUUUCUUGGACAGCCCAUCCCUCAGCCCCGGCCGCAGAGAUACGCCUAUUACACUGACGACCUCUCCAGCCCCACGUCUGUACUCCCCGGCCCCCAGUUUGGUCAGAGGACAACUAAAUCCAAGAAGAAAAAGGGACACAAGGGCAAAAACUGUAUCAUUUCUUAAUUUUAACCGUGUAGCUAUGGAGAUAGGUCAUUUGUUUAAAACUUAGCCCGUAGCCAUCUGAAUCAUAUCUUUUUUUUUUUCUUCCGUAGGAGAGUGGCUAAAAUAGUUCAAGUGCUCUCUUUGCCCGUGUAAACGAGAACCCGACAGCUGUUUACAGUGUCAGAUGAACAUUUGCAAGGGGUGAUCGCUCCAGCUUCCCCUCCUUGUGUGGUGCCAGUCGGGUGCAUUACAGUUUGAUAUAGCUGCUUUGGUCUCCAGUCCUCGAGAGAAUACUCCGGAAACUGUCCAAGGUGAUAGGACGGGGGUGUUGAUGUUCGAAGACGGAGAGCUCCAGCCGCCUUUGUAAAGCAAUAGUGUCAGUCAUUUAUGUAAGUCAGGUUGGCUCAGGUCCUGUCGGUCUGUCUGUCCUGAGGCAUGCACGUCGUCGCGAUGGCCUCGCUAGCACUGUGCAUCCUGGUGUGCGAGGCCCCUUUGCCCCCUUUAACCCUCAGUAACCAGGUAAACUUGUAUUAGCGCCAGCUACAGAUUGAACAGAAAACACAUUGCUAUUUAUAAUGUAGUAUUUCAUAGACUUAAGUGUAUCCCUAAUUUAACGGUGCAAAUAUUAAUGUACAUAUUGUACAGUUCAGAUUUUAAAGCUGAUAUUUUUAUAUCCCUGAAUUGCAAGACGUUUGUUACACUGCAGUGCUAGAUUUGUUAGGGAACCAGAAACAGCAUUUAUGGAUGAAAUGAUUGCUUGUAUUUUAGUCGGGGUUUCUAAGUUUAGACUGUCAAAUUUAUAUUGCCUAGUGAUGGAAAGUUCAAUGUUUUUGAUUUUUCAAUAUUAAAAAAAGGCUCUGUAUGCAUGGUGGGGCUACAUAAAUACUCUUUAACCUAUGGCCCUAUUAAUCUUACAAGUGUUAUUUAUGGGUCAAGCAAUGUAAACUGUAAAAAUGUAAAAACGAGCAAAAAAAAGAAAAAAAAAAACCCUCCAUACAUACCGAUAGAAUACAUGAUAAAAGCAAGUAGAAGCUGGUUGGGUGAAUGCUUUUUCUCCCCCUGGGUAGAAGAGGGGGUGCCUUUCCCACUCUGAGCAAGGUGGUGAGAGGCCAAAACUAUACGGAUCUGCUUUUUUUGGCAGAGAACUGUAUAGAUUUAUUAUUUAAAGAGAGGUUAUUCCUUGUUAUCCUUCCCUUCCAGCUAAUUUGUUGGCCUUUAACAGCAAUUUUGAAAAUGGGGUCUUCUGGUUACGUUUUUCUUUUAAAAUCUUUAAAUUAGAGGACACUGUGUCACUGAGCACUGCAAGUUAAUAUGAGGUUCCAGUUCCAGGGGAAAUUAUGUUGGAUUUGAGCUGAUGAGUGGGUAUUUGAACACGUGCCAUUCUUGCGUAUAUGUCCUAGUGAUAUCCAGGACCUUUAGGGAGGUAUUUAAUAAAGGCUUAAUAAAUAACAAACUACCUUCUGAUUAUAAAUCUUUACAAACACAUCCGGGUAACUUCCAUUCUGCUCCUCUAUUCAGACACGGU